This 301-nucleotide ribosomal RNA is filed under the name uncultured bacterium. RNAcentral's name for it is "partial 16S ribosomal RNA". It matches the Rfam family "Bacterial small subunit ribosomal RNA", at positions 509 to 807 of the family's 1533-position model. The record is from RNAcentral.
CAGUCGCCGCGGGAAUACAGAGGCCUCAAGCGUUGUUCGGAAUCACUGGGCGUAAAGGGUGCGUAGGCGGCGCGGAAAGUCAGGGGUGAAAUCCCGGAGCUCAACUCCGGAACUGCCUUUGAUACUCCCGCGCUUGAGAACUGGAGGGGACAUCGGAAUUCACGGUGGAGCAGUGAAAUGCGUGGAUAUCGUGAGGAACACUAGUGGCGAAGGCGGAUGUCUGGACAGUAUCUGACGCUGAGGCACGAAGGCCGGGGGAGCGAACGGGAUUAGAUACCCGAGUAGUCCCUGUCUCUUAUAC